UUACAGCCAUAUCACGUUGAAACACCGGUUCCCCUACGUUAAACGAAGUUAAAGUUAAGCAACGUCGUGCCUGGACAGUACCUAGAUGGGGGACCGUUUGGGAAUACCUGGUGCUGUAA
This is a non-coding RNA of Acanthosepion pharaonis, 119 nucleotides long. Lineage: Eukaryota; Metazoa; Mollusca; Cephalopoda; Sepiida; Sepiidae. The record is from the annotation of a GenBank genome assembly.